UUAGGCACAUUCUCCUUUGUCCUGAGAAUCUGCUAAGCCAAGGUUGGGGAGUUAAUAGUCGGAGCGUGUGCUCCUUCUCCCUUGUUCUGUUUUCUGAUGGAUCCAAGAGGCCGGUUCCGUGUGUCUGAGAAAAGCGCCAUGUAGUAGACAUGGUCUAGUGGACUCCAGAAAGAACAUUCAAAUAGGGAAAUGGAGAAAUGGGCAAACUUCCGCAUAGAACCAACAAAUCACAAGCUGUUUCAAAGCACUGGCAGUAUCAGUGAUUUCAUGGAAUCCGCACAUCCUCCCGAGAGAGCGCUUUCCCACCCGCACCUCUUGAGAUCCUCCUGAGGGUCCUGCAAGAAGACAGAACCCAAAUGAGAAGAAACCAAGCAAGAGCGCAUCGACUGUCCUAAGGCAACACCUGUGUUAGCUGGGAGUGGGAACUCUGCCCCUGUGUAGUUUCAACUCUCAGAUACUGGAAAUCUGUUUUUGGAAGCGGCAGCUUCAGGACCUAAUGAAUCUCUGCAAACUCAGGAUUACCUUUCAGCAUGCAGAGGAGAGUCAAGUGGUUUUCAGCCCAGACCCCCUCCAGCCCACAGAGCCUGCUGCACAUCAACACCUGGGCCUGGGGGGUUGGGAAGGCAAUCCAGCCUAAGGGGUGAAUUCCUGCUGCCUUCCCACAAGUGGGUGAGAGUUGAAAAGGUCAAAAGGGCACUGCUCAGGGCCUGAGAUUCUGGCGUCAGCUCUGCCACUGGAUAUCUGAGAACACCUUGAACAAGUCAAGGUGCACCUCCAUUUCCUCAUCUAUAACAGGAAGACUGGAUUAGAUAACAUCUCAGCUGCCUUCCUGAUAACCUAAAGGGGACUGGCUUGAGGACAACCGUGACACAUUAUGGGCAAUUUUUAAAAAUGUUUUUAUUAUGAAAAAUUUCAAGCAAGUUCAGCAUCAACAAAACACAACGCACCGUAUCCUUCUUUGCCUAGCCUGGUGGCUAUAAUCAUCAACAUUCUGUCUGUCUUGUUUCAUCUGUACCUCUACCCCCUCCCACUUAAUGGUUAUUUUGUACAGCUGUUUUUAGGUGAAAUUUACAAACAUUGCACUGCAGAAAUCUUAACUGUAAUAUUGACUAAUGGGUUCACUCUUGUGCACUAUACUUCUAUUACAAUAUAAAA
This is a long non-coding RNA of Manis javanica (Malayan pangolin), 1155 nucleotides long. RefSeq lists it as uncharacterized. The record is from RefSeq and is a predicted model, not a curated record. Lineage: Eukaryota; Metazoa; Chordata; Mammalia; Pholidota; Manidae.